AUCAUACCAUGCUGUGUGAAUAUGUAUAUUAUUGAGGUAUAAGUAUUGAACUGAGGGUGAAUAGCGAGCUAAAGCAAGCAGCAACACAACGUUUGGGUUUGAAACGUCACUUCCAUCAGCUGUUAAACGGGGAACGCUUCUGUGAGAAUGUACAAAAAAGUGCUCUGGAGAAUCUGGAGGAUCAGCAUUGAUAACAUACUUAUAGACAAAGACGGAGACCUUUGUAUUGAGGAGCAUGUCAGAUGGGUCUCUCAAAUGAUGGAGAGGAAAACCCAAUAUUUAAGACCAAAAGAAGAUUGAUCUGGCACUGCCUAGUUUCCUUGUGUGUGCAAUGAUGACGGCCACAGAUAUGUUUGGCCAGUGAAAAUGUUGCUAGGUGAAGUAAAAAUCUGACCUACUGACCAGCCUUCCGCAUUGCUAGGUUCUGGAAAAAUAAU
Long non-coding RNA from Xyrauchen texanus (razorback sucker), 437 nucleotides. RefSeq lists it as uncharacterized. The record is from RefSeq and is a predicted model, not a curated record. The transcript has 4 exons. Lineage: Eukaryota; Metazoa; Chordata; Actinopteri; Cypriniformes; Catostomidae.